Small nuclear RNA from Rhinolophus ferrumequinum (greater horseshoe bat), 129 nucleotides. Lineage: Eukaryota; Metazoa; Chordata; Mammalia; Chiroptera; Rhinolophidae. The record is from RefSeq and is a predicted model, not a curated record.
GUGUUUUAUGAAAGUGAAGAAUUAGGUUAGCACUCCCCUGCCAAGAGUGGAAAAAAAUUCUGGUGACUUGUACCACACACAUGCAUGUAAGAUAUCACCAUGUCUUUAGAGCACCGAACAAUAAUUUUA